Molecule: unclassified non-coding RNA, 381 nt
Filed under: fungal sp.
Lineage: Eukaryota; Fungi
Description: partial internal transcribed spacer region
Rfam family: Eukaryotic small subunit ribosomal RNA (bases 1-46)
Source: RNAcentral
AAGUCGUAACAAGGUUUCCGUAGGUGAACCUGCGGAAGGAUCAUUAACACGUAUCCAAACGUUAAAACCCCCCCCGUGAACCUUCAUCCUGCUCUUGUAACCCGCGUAGUUCGCAAUCUCUGAUAAAUCAUAGCCCGGAAAGUUGUAGUGAUUCAGAGACCUCUGGCUACGUGCGAACAUUGGAACAGUUACAAUCGAGCGGUAGUUCUAUAGGCAAUGUUUCCCCAAGCAGUCAGUGUCGGAAAGUGUCAUUGAUUGUGCAAGGAUAGCGCUUCUACGAUUCCUGUAGACCGCAGGAGCUUUGCCAAAGGGUCCCCAUGCCCCCUAAUAACCCCUGGGUAAAAAAACCGAACAACUGUUAACAAUGGAUAUCUUGUUCUC